Dermochelys coriacea (leatherback sea turtle) is the source of this 1602-nucleotide long non-coding RNA. RefSeq lists it as uncharacterized. The record is from RefSeq and is a predicted model, not a curated record. The transcript is spliced from 3 exons. NCBI's taxonomy places the organism in Eukaryota, Metazoa, Chordata, Testudines, Dermochelyidae.
CCCUCCACCACCCCCAGAGGACGUUUACCAUCUGCCUCCAGCUCCUGCCUCUCAGACUCCGCUGCUUGCUUGGCCGGCCGCCCUUUCACCACCUUUUGGGCCUGAAGCAGCAGCCAGCCUGCACUGACUCUUAGCAAGUCUCUUCUUCCCUGCAUCAUUGUGGGUGGAUGCCUGAGACAGGAUCAGAACGGCAGAUGAUGGCUUGUUCUUGCAUGCAGUGAAAUGUAUGCAAUCCCACCAAGUUAAAGGCAGACUGGAGGCAAAAGUGAAACAAUUCAACUUGUAUGAAGCUUCAUUCUGUGGGUCAACAAACUGGCUGGAUGAUAAGAUAAACAGUAAACAUGGAUGGUGACUGAAAUGAUUAAUUUCAGUAAUUUAAAAUGUUCAAUUGCUUUGGUUUUCAUAAUCUGAUAUAGGUAAUUGACGCGUACUUGAGUUGUGUUGUCAAUACAGCAAAAGAAGGUAAGCUGCUAGUAAUGCUACUUCAUUCCUGUUAUUUGUAUUUCUAAGUCAGUAUUUAGAACAAGUAUGAGAGAACAUUUGGUUUAUUACUUACAAAGAAAUGUCUGCAAUUAGUACUCUGUUUUUAUUAACUUUUUCUUAGCAAUCAAUAUUCCUUCUGUAUUAAUACUUUAAAACUAUAUUGUUUAACUUAUAUUUUAAAAUUAUUGAUUAAUUUACCACAUCCUUAUGUGUUAACAGGUACAUGCUGUCUUUUCAAUCACUACUAGAAAAAUUCUGUCAGGCAGAGCAACGAAAGUGAAUUUUGAGAAGAUAAGUGGUCCUGACAUUUGAUUUGAAUGCACUGGAGGGUAGCAGGCCUCUGGUUUUCACCAGUACAAGUGGUGCUCAUUAGCUACAAUAAAGGAAAGGGACAGUGUAAGUGAUAGUAAGUAAGUGAUAUUCAACAUGUGGUGUCAUCCCUCCACCAGGACCAAUAUCAAGUGCCUUCUCUGUAUUGCUACAGAGCAGGAGUGGGCAAAGGAUCCUUGACAGCUUCUGUUCCUACACUGGAGCAGAGGAUUCCUCUCCACCCAUUCAGUUAAUUCCACAUGUGCUCAACAAAAUCAUACCACAUGGCCAGGGUGAUAGUACCAGCAGAGGCCAGGCAAUUCUGGUUCACAGAAUUACUGGAACUGACCAGCCAUCCUCUUCUACCUUCAUGUCAAAAUCUGCUACAGAAGAAUGGCAUGAUCCUAUCUUCAGACUGUCUGUCUCUGAAUCUGGAUGUCUGGGACAUGGGUCUUACAAAUGGCUUCUCCUGCUCUGCUGAGGUGCAGGAGGUCCUCAUUCACUGAGGAUAGGACUCCAUUCACAUGGUGUACACACAAGUGAAAACAAUUUAGUGUAUGAGAAGCCAGCAACAAUCUUCCUCCAGUCUACUCGAAUACCAUCUGUCACAGAGUGGACUGUCCCUUUAAGGGUAUGUGGGUUCAGUCUCAGCUGUGCCUAGUUAUUCACUUCCCAGGUAAAGGGGUUGGGCCAUUGGUUGGGUCUGCUGACCAGGUAGCAUGGCAUAGGUGGCACAUGAGUUUUUUGUUUGAAGAGGCUACUCCCAAGAGUGCCAGAAGCUCCUUGAAGUGUGGGGCCACCAGCACCCAG